AUACGGAGGGUGCAAGCGUUAAUCGGAAUUACUGGGCGUAAAGCGCGCGUAGGCGGUUUGUUAAGUCGGAUGUGAAAGCCCUGGGCUCAACCUGGGAACUGCAUUCGAAACUGAUUGACUAGAGUAUGGUAGAGGGUGGUGGAAUUCCUAGUGUAGCGGUGAAAUGCGUAGAUAUUAGGAGGAACAUCAGUGGCGAAGGCGACCACCUGGACUAAUACUGACGCUGAGGUGCGAAAGCGUGGGGAGCAAACAGGAUUAGAAACCCCAGUAGUCC
RNAcentral lists this ribosomal RNA (274 nucleotides) under uncultured bacterium. Its description in RNAcentral is "partial 16S ribosomal RNA". It matches the Rfam family "Bacterial small subunit ribosomal RNA", at positions 523 to 796 of the family's 1533-position model. The record is from RNAcentral.